RNAcentral lists this ribosomal RNA (254 nucleotides) under uncultured bacterium. Its description in RNAcentral is "partial 16S ribosomal RNA". It matches the Rfam family "Bacterial small subunit ribosomal RNA", at positions 524 to 776 of the family's 1533-position model. The record is from RNAcentral.
UACGGGGGGAGCAAGCGUUGUUCGGAUUUACUGGGCGUAAAGGGCGCGUAGGCGGUCAGCACAAGUCAGUUGUGAAAUCUCCGGGCUUAACUCGGAAAGGUCAACUGAUACUGUGCGACUAGAGUGCAGAAGGGGCAACUGGAAUUCUCGGUGUAGCGGUGAAAUGCGUAGAUAUUGUAAGGAAGACCAGUGGCGAAGGCGGGUCUCUGGACAGUUCCUGACGCUGAGGCACGAAGGCCAGGGGAGCAAACGGG